Molecule: ribosomal RNA, 460 nt
Filed under: Paenibacillus alvei
Lineage: Bacteria; Bacillati; Bacillota; Bacilli; Caryophanales; Paenibacillaceae
Description: bacterial SSU rRNA
Rfam family: Bacterial small subunit ribosomal RNA
Source: RNAcentral
UAUACAUGCAGUCGAGCGGACUUGAUGGAGUGCUUGCACUCCUGAUGGUUAGCGGCGGACGGGUGAGUAACACGUAGGUAACCUGCCCAUAAGACUGGGAUAACCCACGGAAACGUGAGCUAAUACCGGAUAGGCAUUUUCCUCGCAUGAGGGAGAUGAGAAAGGCGGAGCAAUCUGCCACUUAUGGAUGGACCUGCGGCGCAUUAGCUAGUUGGUAAGGUAACGGCUUACCAAGGCGACGAUGCGUAGCCCGACCUGAGAGGGUGAUCGGCCACACUGGGACUGAAGACACGGCCCAGACUCCUACGGGAGGCAGCAGUAGGGAAUCUUCCGCAAUGACGAAAGUCUGACGGAGCAACGCCGCGGAGUNAUGAAGGUUUUCGGAUCGUAAAGNUCUGUUGCCAGAAGAACGCCUAGAGAGUAACUGCUCUAGGUGACGGUACCUGAGAAGAAGCCCCGG